AGCUAAUAGAUACCCAGGUAGUCCACGCCCUAAACGAUGUCUACUAGUUGUUGGUGGAGUAAAAUCCAUGAGUAAACGCAGCUAACGCGUGAAGUAGACCGCCUGGGGAGUACGGUCGCAAGAUUAAAACUCAAAGGAAUUGGACGGGGGCCCGCACAAGCGGUGGAUUAUGUGGAUUAAUUCGAUGCAACGCGAAAACCUUACCUGGCCUUGACAUGCUACUAACGAAGCAGAGAUGCAUUAGGUGCCCGUAAGGGAAAGUGGACACAGGUGCUGCAUGGCUGUCGUCAGCUCGUGUCGUGAGAUGUUGGGUUAAGUCCCGCAACGAGCGCAACCCUUGCCAUUAAUUGCCAUCAUUUAGUUGGGCACUUUAAUGGGACUGCCGGUGACAAACCGGAGGAAGUGGGGAUGACGUCAAGUCCUCAUGGCCCUUAUGGCCAGGGCUUCACACGUAAUACAAUGGUCGGUACAGAGAGUUGCCAACCCGCAGGGGGAGCUAAUCUCAGAAAGCCGAUCGUAGUCCGGAUUGUUCUCU
Molecule: ribosomal RNA, 535 nt
Filed under: uncultured bacterium
Lineage: Bacteria
Description: bacterial SSU rRNA
Rfam family: Bacterial small subunit ribosomal RNA
Source: RNAcentral